UCAUUCUUUCUUAGAUCUAAGUAUGAAAUAUGAAUUAGUUUUGAAAAUUUUGGUUGGAUUGAUUUGUAUUUAGGUAUUUGGGUUACAUUAAAAUUAAAUGUACAUGGAAAUAGAAAUAGAGAGAGGCGAUGAGGACACGGAGAAAGAAGCAGAGAAAGAGAGAGGCGAUGAAAUACAGAGAGGAUGAGGCCUGCGACACGGAGAAAGAAACAGAGAAAGAGGCAGAACGGUAAACACUGCAUCGAUUGGGCAUAAGAAAUCAAAAAGUUUCAAAACGCGAUUUUGCAAACCCAAAACCUAGGCAGAAAGGUAAACAGAGAAGGCACGGAGAAAGAAACAGAGAAAGAGGCAGAGUUCCUAAGGCCGUCCAUUGUGCAUUACAAUCAAAAGGAAAAGAGAGAAGAGUUCGUCUGAACCAUACACCGUCCAUUCCCUUGCCAAAUUUAGACCACCAGACAGCGGAACCGACAUUGACAAAGGAGCACAUUGCAUUAGAAGAAAUUUUUGAAGAAUGAAGUGGAUUUUCAAUAGAAAAUGCUGAAGUGAUGUUGCAAAUUCAGUGGCUAUGGCCAAGAGAAGAAUGAAACCAAUUUUGGAUUCAUAAACAAGCUUGGAGUUGAUUGGUGGUGCUUCCAUGACAGGGAUAUAGCCCCUGAUGGCAAAAACCUGGAGGAAAUUAACGCAAACUUGGAUGAAGUUGUGGCCCUUGCCAAGAAGCUUCAGUUUUGAAAGUUGUGCUGGCUUUGAUGGAAUGUGAUGGGAAAUGUUUGAGACCGUGUGAAGUUGGGAGGGAGGGGGGAAUGAUGAACAAGGAUUAGACUGCUGCAAAGUACGAACAUCGGAGAGAGAACUUUUUCAAUGAGCUGGAGAUUGUCUUUGCUGAUGUGCAGCUUAGGACAGGUGUAUGUUAGGCAACAUCAACAAUAACAGCUAUGGCAGCAAGUCAACUUCAGCAGCAACAUCACAGGUUUUACUAGAAUGAGACUGAUUUUCAGGAUUUAUGAUGGCUGAACCAAUGCUCAUGAUUGGUGGCAAUAAUGCUCAACUUAAGUUGCUGCGUAACUCAUGUUGGUGCUGCUGCUGGAGGCUUAAGUAGCUGCAUAAUUGUUGGUGUUGUUGUUGCUUAAAGUCAAAUUCUUCUUUUAGACACUAUAUGCUUAAAUAUAUUACAUUAUUUAAGUUUGAAUGUAUGCAGUGGAAGUAUGAUAACUAAAUUUAUGUAGGAUGCAAAGUUCAUAAUUAAUAUGUAAAAUGUUCCCGCGCAUUGCGCAGGUUAAACACUAA
Long non-coding RNA from Quercus robur (English oak), 1284 nucleotides. RefSeq lists it as uncharacterized. The transcript has 8 exons. Lineage: Eukaryota; Viridiplantae; Streptophyta; Magnoliopsida; Fagales; Fagaceae. The record is from RefSeq and is a predicted model, not a curated record.